AUUUGUUUUCUUGAUACGAGAGUUGAGUUAAAAAAUAGUUCCGGUCAGUUGAAUAACAUGGCUGCUGGGAGGGGGGCCGUUUUCUCAUUAUGCCCCCCCCCCCUUUUGAAGAAGAGGGGGUAUAUUGUUUUGCUCAUGUCGGUCCGUCCACCAGAUGGUUUCCAGAUGAUAACUCAAGAGCGCUUAUGCCAAGGAUCAUGAAACUUCAUAGGUACAUUGAUCAUGACUCGCAGAUGACCCCUAUUGAUUUUCAGGUCACUAGGUCAAAGGUCACGAUGACCCGAAAUAGUAAAAUGGUUUCUGGAUGAUAACUCAAGAACGCUUAUGCCUAGGAUCAUGAAACUUCAUAGAUACAUUGAUCAUGACUUGCAGAUGACCCCUAUUGAUUUUCAGGUCACUAGGUCAAAGGUCAAGGUCACGGUGACCCAAAGCAGUAAAAUGAUUUCCGGAUGAUAACUCAAGAACGCUUAUGCCUAGGAUCAUGAAACUUCAUAGAUACAUUGAUCAUGACUCGCAGAUAACCCCUAUUGAUUUUCAGGUCACUAGGUCAAAGGUCAAGGUCAUGAUGACCCGAAAUAGUAAAAUGGUUUCCGGAUGAUAACUCAAGAACGCUUAGGCCUAGGAUCAUGAAACUUCAUAGGUACAUUGAUCAUGACUCGUAGAUGACCCCUAUUGAUUUUCAGGUCAAAGGUCAAGGUUAGGUGACCCGAAAUAAUAAAAUGGUUUCCAGAUGAUAACUCAAGAACUUUUAUGCCUAGGAUCAUGAAACUUCAUAGGUACAUUGAUCAUGACUCGAAGAUGACCCCUAUUGAUUUUCAGGUCACUAGGUCAAAGGUCAAGGUCACGGUGACCUGAAAUAGUAAAAUGGUUUCUGGAUGAUAACUCAAGAACGCUUAUGCCUAGGAUCAUGAAACUUCAUAGGUACAAUGAUCAUGACUCGCAGAUGACCCCUAUUGAUUAUCAGGUCACUAGGUCAAAGGUCAAGGUCACAGUGCCAAAAAACGUCGCACAAUAGCUGUCAAGGUCACGGUGACUCAACUUAGAAAAAUGGUUUCCGGAUGAUAACUCAAGAGUGCUUACGCCUAUGAUCAUGAUACUUCAUAGGUACAUUGAUCAUGGCUCGCAGAUGAAAUAAUGAUGAAACUUGACCAGGAUGUUUGUCCUGACAAUAUCUAGGUCAAGUUUGACAUUUGGUUAAGAUUGAAUGAACCGACUCCUCAGGUGAGCGAACUAGGGCCAUCUUGGCCCUCUUGUUUCUAUAAAGUAAUAAUUUUAAUGACGUUUUAUGGCAGGUUUUUAACCAAGGUUGUAAUUAAUUUAAGUUUUGGGGACUUUACUCUUAUUAUAUAUAUUUAAACUGUAUGUAGGAUGC
This is a long non-coding RNA of Dreissena polymorpha, 1372 nucleotides long. RefSeq lists it as uncharacterized. The transcript has 3 exons. Lineage: Eukaryota; Metazoa; Mollusca; Bivalvia; Myida; Dreissenidae. The record is from RefSeq and is a predicted model, not a curated record.